AGGAGGAGGAGGCGGCGAGGAGGAGGAGGAGGAAGAGGAGGAGCGGAGUCAGAGCGCGGCGGCAGCGGCAGCGACAGAGGCGGCCGCGGCGGGGACCAGCCCAGAGAGACCCCGAGCCCGCGGCAGAGGCGGCGGCGGCUGAGCGGGCGCGACCAGCCGAGCGAGCGAGCGAGCGAGCGGCGGCGGCCCGGCUCCUCCUCGUCCGGCGCCGAGCGGCCCGCGCCCGCACUCGGCCCGCGGAGACCCGCCUCCCGCCCGCCGGCCUCGUGAGGGACGCGCCGAAGCGGCGGCCGAGGAGCGGCGGCGGGCCGGGAGCGCGUCGGGCCGCGGGCGGAAAGUGCCUGCGGGGGCGGGGAGAGCGCGGCGAGCGCGCGGUCCGGCCGCCCCGGCGCCCGGCGCGGGAGCGGAGCGGAGCGGGACGCCGAGUCCCGAGCGGCCGGCGGCCGGGGCUCCCCGCCCCUCCCUCCUCUCCGGCGGCGGCGGCGGGCGGAGUGAGCUGCGGAGCCUGGAAUAUGGUCGGGGAAAUGGAAACGAAGGAGAAGCCGAAGCCCACCCCAGAUUACCUGAUGCAGCUGAUGAACGACAAGAAGCUCAUGAGCAGCCUGCCCAACUUCUGCGGGAUAUUCAACCACCUCGAGCGGCUGCUGGACGAAGAAAUUAGCAGAGUACGGAAAGACAUGUACAAUGACACAUUAAAUGGCAGUACAGAGAAAAGGAGUGCAGAAUUGCCUGAUGCUGUGGGACCUAUUGUUCAGUUACAAGAGAAACUUUAUGUGCCUGUAAAAGAAUACCCAGAUUUUAAUUUUGUUGGGAGAAUCCUUGGACCUAGAGGACUUACUGCUAAACAGCUUGAAGCAGAAACAGGAUGUAAGAUAAUGGUCCGAGGCAAAGGCUCAAUGAGGGAUAAAAAGAAGGAGGAGCAAAAUCGAGGGAAGCCUAAUUGGGAACAUCUCAAUGAAGAUUUACAUGUACUGAUCACUGUGGAAGAUGCUCAAAACAGAGCAGAGAUCAAACUGAAGAGAGCCGUUGAGGAAGUGAAGAAAUUACUGGUACCCGCCGCAGAGGGAGAAGACAGCCUGAAGAAGAUGCAGCUGAUGGAGCUUGCAAUUCUCAAUGGCACCUACAGAGAUGCCAACAUUAAAUCACCAGCCCUUGCCUUUUCUCUUGCAGCGACAGCCCAGGCUGCUCCCAGGAUUAUUACUGGGCCUGCGCCCGUUCUCCCACCAGCUGCCCUGCGCACUCCUACGCCAGCUGGCCCGACCAUAAUGCCUUUGAUCAGACAGAUACAGACCGCUGUCAUGCCAAACGGAACUCCUCACCCAACUGCUGCAAUAGUUCCUCCAGGGCCCGAAGCUGGUUUAAUCUACACACCCUACGAAUACCCCUACACGUUGGCACCAGCUACAUCAAUCCUUGAGUAUCCUAUUGAACCUAGCGGUGUAUUAGGUAUGGCUUUCCCAACGAAAGGCUAAGAAUUCAAGAACGGUCUUAACUGAACCCUCAUCAGAUCUGAAUUUAACAAAUGCUUAGUCUCAGCAGCCUCCAGGGGGUGGGAGGGAAGCUUAGCCUAGCAGUCAGUGACUUACUUGCACUUUUUGCACACUGAUAGAAAGUAAAAGUAUGUUAUUAAUUGGUUUAGUCUGUAAUCUUACAAAGUAACGGUAAUUUAUAAAGGAGUGUAUAGUAGUAUACUGACUGCUAAGUGUACUAUACUGUUUGCUUUACUAAUCACCUAAUUCAUUGCAGUUCAUACUUAUUGACUCAAAGUUUAGAACCACAAUCUGUAGGCUCUAAGAAUUGCUUUUAAACUUUCUUAAGUGAUAGACUCUGGAAGUGGUCUUAAGGUUAGCAAAUAAUUGUCAGUAUUAAACAUGGCAUUAUUUAAGUAGUCCUGCUGCAAGAAAGGCACUUCAGUGAAUAUGUGACUAGUAAAGCUUAACUGUGUUUGGAUCUAAUAGAGUUCAUGAAAUCUGUAACUUGAGAUUGUAAAUGAAUGGAUAAAAUAGGUUAAGGCCAAGAUGAUUGAAAUGGAUGCAAUAUUAAUAGGUGCAUAUAUACGCAACAUAUUAUGGUUAAUUUUAAGACUACUGUGCCUUAACGUGUUUCCUAAAAGAAAACUUUUGUAGUAAAUGAACAUUUGAAAUCCAUUUUGAUAAACCUGCUGUUAAUGUUUGUUUUCUUUUCCCUUGUGAAUGUUUUCUAACUUUGUCUUGGUAAUUGCAAUUUAACUAGGUGCGGUGGCUACUAAAGUUCGAAGGCACGAUAUGCGUGUCCAUCCUUACCAAAGGAUUGUGACCGCAGACCGAGCCGCCACCGGCAACUAACCUAUGACCUUCUGACCUCUGAACUCUUCACCCAAUGAUGACCUGACCAUGCCUGCCUGCUGAUCAGUUAACUGGUAAUCGCCUUUGCUUGCCUGUCGUCAGUGCAGCGAGCUGAGGCACUUGUCCGUUCGUCUUACCAUCUAACCAAACAAAAGACAAAGAAAUUGUUGUCCUCCAACUCAGCUUUUGUUUGUUUUUUUGUUUGUUUUUUUUUCUUUUUCUGUUUGGGUGAAAGUGGUUCUAGAACCUGCACUGAAUAGUAGUAAAGCAAUAAGGCCCAAUUCAUCCCACAGCACUGAUCAUCUUUUAAUGUCCCACCCUAAGCGAACGGUAAGAAGGCCUCACUUCAGAAGGGGAGACAGAUGGCCCUUAACUACUCAGUGACAGAGGCAGUUACUGUGAGAGACUUCUAGGAAUCUUUUCUUCUCAUAGCGAGUCAAAGCUCUCUGAAUGUACUGUGUGAUGACGCACCAUGCAUGAACCUUUGGUCAGGGAUGUCAUUGGUGAAGUGAUUUCAAAAAGUAUUCAAAAUUUGAUAUGCUGUUUAGUCACUACAGUGCCCUCACAGGGCAGACGUCGCAGCCUUUUUUAUAUCGCCUGCCAAAAUUUGAAGUAUUAGAAGUGUGCCAUGAGAGAAACCUUAAGGAGUUGUGAAAAGUAAUGCAAAGAGCAAAACUGCAGCACUAUUUUUAAAAAAGAUAAAUAUCGGAGUUAAAAUUACUGAACCUUUAUUUUACACCUCCUUUAAAAAUAUGAGAACAAGGUACAUGCAUUAUGUGUCACAUUACUGGGCAAACUGUUCAAAUAUUUUUUUUAAACCUCCCUGUAUAGAAAAAAAUCAUUAAGGAUGUAAAAGCCAUGCUUGCCUAUUUGCUGUAUACAUGUAAUGAAAUUGUAGAUAAAGUGUAGUGCAUUGAAACAAAUGAACAAAAAGUAGAUACUUUUACUAUACAAGGGUGCUGGUGCAGAAAAAAUAUAUAUAUUUUUGGAAAUGUAGCAUUUUAUACUUUCAAGUGUUAUAAAAAAAAGAAAAAGAACAAAGAAACCCUUUAUUUCAUUAAAUGAUUUUUUCUGGUGGUUGUCAAGAAACAAAAGACCAAAAGAGCCUUUUUGUCUUUCUUUUUUAUUUUUUAAGUAUUGGAAUAAGUCUAAAGAAAAGAAAGUGCCUUAUUUUCCUUCAUGGUCAUUUAGUCAAGUGUCUACUGUAAGAUCAGCUCCUCCCUCAGAAUACAAGUUAAUGCAUGUUACUCAGUCGCCCAGUAUGUGAAAGAAGAUACGAGGGGAGACAAAUGAGUUGAUGGUUUGAAUUAUAUGAUUUUUGCCACGUUACCUUGAUAUAAAUUUGCCAAACCUGAUACUGUGAAAAAAUUUGACAACUUUUCUAAUGCCUAACAAGUAAGUUUUAAAACAUUCUUUUAAAAUCAUAAUUGAGUGCUUUUGGUCAUCACCAUAUUUGAUGUUAGUCCAGAGGAUUCUGAAAUAAAGAUGAUGUGACCUGAACACCAUUUUACAGACAAAAUUAGAGCUUUAUUUUGUUUGGGGGAGGGUGGUGGUUAGCUCUGUCUUAUGAAUUGGAGGUAAUAGCAUACUUAGUGAUCUUUUUCACAACGAAUCUUUGUGAUUUUCAUUCUGGAAAACUAUUUUUAAAUGGCCCACAUUUAAUGAGUCUUGUUUCUACCAGAUCACAUGGGUUGGCCAUCUCUCCUGGUUUAAGUAACCUAAGCCACCGCACCCCCUUUUAACUUUAAAAGAAUGUGAAAAACUAGCAUCAUUGUGCAUAUAAUACUCAACUACAUGUGAGUUUAAACUUCCAAUUUUUCAUAAAGUUAAGGUAGUUUUGUAGUUGGAGCUAUCUGUGCACAAAGCCUAUAUCUGCACUCUUUAAGUAAUCGUUAGCUGCUCAGUCAGUACCAGACGUGGCAAAUAUCAAGUGGCAGUGGAUCCCCAGCUCAUCAACUCCUUCCCUCUUACAUACCUUCACAGCUUCACAGUCAAAGGUCAGCAGUAAGCUCAGUAAGCACCCUCGUGGUGACCCCCUCCAUCAUCUUGUCUCACUUGGAAACCGUUUUCAGUUUAUUUACUAUGCAAUAGACAUUCAUUGUUUUGUAUUCAGCUAGCUCUGGUUUAGUGUGCCACUGCUUUGUCUUUCUGUUACACAUACAGUUGUUUUGAUUUAUUUACAAUAUAUGCUGUGCCAUUUUGAUUUUUAUUUUGUUUGGUUGGUUGAAUAAAUUUGCGACACUCAAACACUUGAGGUGAUAGUUUAAAACGAUACCAGUAUUUGAUCCAGUUUCAUCUCAACUAUGUUAUACCUGGACACUUUAGAUGUUUAUCAAAGGUCUUUUAUGGGGAAGAAAGUAAAUGUAUGAAAUAAAUGUGUGACAUUUAUGAGUAAUGUUGGCUCUGUACAAACGUUUGAAAACUUAGUUGACAAAAUUUUGGAUCAACUGAAAAAAAGCAUGACUUCUGAAAUCUCUGAAUGCCUUGGUUCUCAGUAUUAUCAUUCUUUAUUGAGUUUAUUUCUUAUUAAAAUAUGUAGUUUUUAAGACUUUUUUUUCUGACAGUAUUAUGUAAUUUUUUAGUGCGGGUAGAUGGGAGUGUCGCGUGUUUGUUACCGUACAGCUGACAUGUAUUUUUGUCUAUUCUUUAUCUCAGUAGUUCCAUGCUAUGUAUGUACCAUAACCAACCUAUUGCCUAUGAGAAACAUGUAAGAUAAUGUAUUUACAGCCAUUGUUACAAGUUUAUAAUGUAUUUUUCUAUCUUGUUUUAUAUGUAUGUUAUAUAACAUUCAAAAAGAAUUUUUUUCUUGAUUGAGAAAAGGAUACAAAAUGCAAAAUCCACAAUUUUGAUAACUGAAAAUUGCCAAUUGUUUUGCAGUACUUUAUUAUAUUGGGUGUCUUGUCUUUCUUGGGCUUUUAGUUAGCUAAUGAAUGAAUACAUUAGACACUUUUGGGUUUUAGUUGGGAUUUUACAUAGCUUGCAUUUUAAUUCUUUGGUUCUUUGCUGUUUCUAUUAACCCAUAGCAUUAUUUUAAUAAAUGUUAUAAUACCAACCUACUAACUCUGGACUAUGUCUGUUUAUUAACCUUUACAUGUUUAAUUAAAAUAAACAAAUAAAGACAAAAGAA
Molecule: RNA transcript, 5451 nt
Organism: Hippopotamus amphibius kiboko
Lineage: Eukaryota; Metazoa; Chordata; Mammalia; Artiodactyla; Hippopotamidae
Gene: QKI
Gene name: QKI, KH domain containing RNA binding
Exons: 8
Source: RefSeq, a predicted model, not a curated record